AACGAACGCUGGCGGCGGGGUUUAGGCAUGCAAGUUGUGCGUGAAAGUCUUCGGAUGAGUAGCGCGGCGAAAGGGUGAGUAAUGGUUCGUUAACGUGCCCCUUGGACUCGGAUAAUUCCUGGAAACGGGUUGUAAAACGGGAUGGGACCUCGGCCACUUUGGUGGCUGCGGUGAAAGCGCAGGGAUCUUUCGGGACCUGCGGCCAAGGGAGCGGACGAGCCCCGAUUAGCUUGAUGGUGGGGUAAUGGCCUACCAUGGCGAUGAUCGGUAGCCGGCCUGAGAGGGUGUACGGCCACACUGGGACUGAGACACUGCCCAGACUCCUACGGGAGGCUGCAGUCGCGAAUCUUCCACAAUGGACGCAAGUCUGAUGGAGCCACGCCGCGUGUAGGAGGAAGGCCUUCGGGUUGUAAACUACUGUUGCGAGGGGGGAAUUGCAUGCGUUGAAUAGGCGUAUGUUUGACUGCCCUCAUGAGGAAGCCCCGGCUAAACACGUGCCAGCAGCCGCGGUAAUACGUGUGGGGCAAGCGUUGUUCGGAAUUACUGGGCUUAAAGGGUGCGUAGGCGGCCUAUUAAGUCAGCUGUGAAAUCCCACGGCCUAACCGUGGACGUGCAGUUGAUACUGAUGGGCUUGAGUGUGCUAGGGGUGAGCGGAACGAGUGGUGUAGCGGUGAAAUGCGUAGAUAUCACUCGGAAGGCCGGAGCCGAAGGGGGCUCACUGGGGCACAACUGACGCUGAUGCACGAAAGCGUGGGGAGCAAACAGGAUUAGAUACCCUGGUAGUCCACGCCGUAAACGAUGAGCACUAGAUGGGUGUGUUUCUGGCAUGCCUGUCGGAGAAAAAUUGUUAAGUGCUCCGCCUGGGGAGUAUGGUCGCAAGGCUGAAACUCAAUGGAAUUGACGGGGGCUCACACAAGCGGUGGAGGAUGUGGUUUAAUUCGAAGCAACGCGAAGAACCUUACCAGGCCUUGACAUUCUGGGAUUAACUAUGUGAAAGCAUGGGGCUUCUCCUUACGGAGGUAACCAGAACAGGUGCUGCAUGGCUGUCGUCAGCUCGUGCCGUGAGGUGUUAGGUUAAGUCCUUUAACGAGCGAAACCCCUACGGUUAGUUGCCAGCGCGUAAAGGCGGGGACUCUAGCCGGACUGCCGCGUGCAAGUUGGAGGAAGGUGGGGACGACGUCAAGUCAUCAUGGCCCUUAUGGUCUGGGCUACACACGUCCUACAAUGGCCGGUACAAAGGGAGGCAAAGCCGCGAGGUGGAGCAGAUCCCAUAAAGCCGUCCUCAGUUCGGAUUGUAGGCUGCAAUUCGCCUACAUGAAGCCGGAAUCGCUAGUAAUCGCGGGUCAGCUACACCGCGGUGAAUAUGUUCCUGAGCCU
This 1377-nucleotide ribosomal RNA is filed under the name uncultured bacterium. RNAcentral's name for it is "bacterial SSU rRNA". It matches the Rfam family "Bacterial small subunit ribosomal RNA", at positions 28 to 1381 of the family's 1533-position model. The record is from RNAcentral.